This 756-nucleotide ribosomal RNA is filed under the name uncultured bacterium. RNAcentral's name for it is "bacterial SSU rRNA". It matches the Rfam family "Bacterial small subunit ribosomal RNA", at positions 8 to 796 of the family's 1533-position model. The record is from RNAcentral.
AGAGUUUGAUCAUGGCUCAGAAUCAACGCUGGCGGCGUGCCUAACACAUGCAAGUCGAACGAGAAAGUGGAGCAAUCCAUGAGUAAAGUGGCGCACGGGUGAGUAACACGUGACUAACCUACCCUUGAGUGGGGGAUAACCUGGGGAAACCUUGGCUAAUACCGCAUAACACCUACGGGUCAAAGGAGCAAUUCGCUUAAGGAGGGGGUCGCGGCAGAUUAGUUAGUUGGCGGGGUAAUGGCCCACCAAGACAGUGAUCUGUAUCCGGCCUGAGAGGGCGCACGGACACACUGGAACUGAAACACGGUCCAGACUCCUACGGGAGGCAGCAGUGGGGAAUUUUGCGCAAUGGGGGAAACCCUGACGCAGCAACGCCGCGUGGAGGAUGAAGUCCCUUGGGACGUAAACUCCUUUCGACCGGGACGAUUAUGACGGUACCGGAAGAAGAAGCCCCGGCUAACUUCGUGCCAGCAGCCGCGGUAAUACGAGGGGGGCGAGCGUUGUUCGGAAUUAUUGGGCGUAAAGGGUGCGUAGGCGGUUCGGUAAGUUUCGUGUGAAAUCUUCGGGCUCAACUCGAAGCCUGCACGAAAUACUGCCGGGCUUGAGUGUGGGAGAGGUGAGUGGAAUUUCCGGUGUAGCGGUGAAAUGCGUAGAUAUCGGAAGGAACACCUGUGGCGAAAGCGGCUCACUGGACCACAACUGACGCUGAUGCACGAAAGCUAGGGGAGCAAACAGGAUUAGAUACCCCGGUAGUCC